This is a small nucleolar RNA of Suncus etruscus (white-toothed pygmy shrew), 102 nucleotides long. RefSeq annotates it as small nucleolar RNA U13. The record is from RefSeq and is a predicted model, not a curated record. The transcript has a single exon. Lineage: Eukaryota; Metazoa; Chordata; Mammalia; Eulipotyphla; Soricidae.
AUUCUUUUCUAGUACAUAAGCGUGAUGAUUAGGCAUUCACAUGUUUGUGUGAUAUGUACCUUUUAAACUUUGUUACUACAAUGUCACGUUGCCUUUCUUACA